AUCUCCUUCCGGAGCCACCGUCGCCGACUGCCUCCCGUCUUCGGUACUCCGUCGGGCGCCGCGCCCGUCCGCAUCCAGUCGAGCUGCCCUAGCCAUCUACUUUCCUGGUGAGAUGAAUUCGCUGUAUUUGUUGGUUGAUUUGGGACUUUGAGUCUCAUCUUUAGCAAGUCUGACUUGUUGGAAAAUAUCCUCCGAGCCCAGCAGUCUCCUUCUUUGCUGUAAAUACUAAAAUUAACAAGUAAGAAAAGAAGUAACAAAGGGUUUGGACGUACAUUGUGGUCACUUUCUGCAACCUCAUUCAUGACACCUUUAAACCAUUCAAAGGAACCUUGUUCCCGGGUCACCCAAUAGAAGUAAGCCCUUCCUGGACCAUCUCCAUUGUUGGUUUCAUUCUGUGAAGUUUUACUUUCCAUUUCCUGCAUUAAUGUAGAGGUUAUGAAUGCUGGUUCAUGUAAAAGAAGUUUCCAAAACCACUUUGGCUGGAUAUUUACUUUGUUUGAUUGUGUGUUGUUUAAAAUAUCCCUUAAUAUGCUGAUAAACGGGGUUGCCCCAAUUCCCAGUCCAACAAGCAAAAGAAUGUCAUACUUUUUGUAAUCUUGAGCAGGUGCACCAUAAGGCCCAUCGAUGAAGAUCUUUGGAAAUCUUGCAUGACAAAUGUAAUUCAUCUUCAGAGUUUGGUUACUUCGGAAAAUCUUGUAGAGAUAACUGCCUCACAAGCCUGUUUCAAAGUGUCAUGUUAUUCUUGAAAUGUGGAUAUAGAUUUUGAGGAAAAGCGAGAACACAUCAAUCUUCUAAUCAAACCUUUCCAAAACAAUUUCUGAGAGCAGUUGUCCAGUCUCCCAAGGAGCGGAUGUGAACACUCAAGUAGUCAUCUCCUGGUGCUGACGUGAUCGAGAAGGGAUGCCUAGUAGAAUCAAAACAAAAGUUAAAUAAAAGGUCACAGUUUCUCUGUGAAUAUGAGAUCAGACGUACCAUUCGAAUGGUGAUAUAUCUGGACACUUGAUGAACAGGAAAUUGCCGUAUUCCCAAAUAGAACUGAUUUUGCAAGUAAAAGCAACACAUGCAUGAAGAAUUAAACAAAGAGCCAGUUACCAAUGCAAGGUCCAAAAUUCUCCUUCUGAAGCCUGCCGCCCACUGCAGAUUU
This is a long non-coding RNA of Zingiber officinale, 1144 nucleotides long. RefSeq lists it as uncharacterized. NCBI's taxonomy places the organism in Eukaryota, Viridiplantae, Streptophyta, Magnoliopsida, Zingiberales, Zingiberaceae. The transcript is spliced from 4 exons. The record is from RefSeq and is a predicted model, not a curated record.